This 2767-nucleotide unclassified non-coding RNA is filed under the name Neodiprion pinetum (white pine sawfly). RNAcentral's name for it is "phosphomevalonate kinase, transcript variant X3". The record is from RNAcentral. Lineage: Eukaryota; Metazoa; Arthropoda; Insecta; Hymenoptera; Diprionidae.
AGCUCUAUACCAAUUACAAAUGGCAGCUGCAGAUAGUCGUGACUGCGCAGAUGCUAGCGAAGAUUCAAUAUUUCUUUCAGUGAAACCUCGUCGUAUUUUACUGUUCAGUGGAAAAAGAAAGUCCGGCAAGGAUUACAUUACUGACAUUUUACAGCAAAGAUUAAACCAUUUGCCGUGCGUGACGAUAAAGAUUUCUGGACCUAUAAAAAUUCAUUGGGCCAAAAGUUUGAACCUAGAUUUCAAAGAAUUACUUGGAGAUGGAGAAUACAAAGAGAAAUACAGGGGACAGAUGAUUGCAUGGGGUGAAAAUAUGAGGAACAAAGAUAUUGGCUACUUUUGUCGUGCUGCUAUCGAUAUGUAUAAUGCUCGUAAUAUACCCAUAUGGAUAGUCAGUGACAUAAGACGGAAAACUGAUAUUCAAUGGUUCGUUGAAAAUUUUGGCAGCGCUUGUAAAACUGUAAGAAUUAUUGCUGAUGAUGAAAUCAGGACAAAACGAGGAUGGAUCUUCACACCAGGUAUAGACGAUGCAGAGUCUGAAUGUGAUUUAGACAACAUGAAUAAGUGGGACUUGAAAGUUUACAACAAUGAUGACGAUAUUGAUGAUAUUUUGGACACUAUCAUCAGUCUGAUAAAUUGAUCUAGUUUUACAAUUGAUGAAAUGUCGAAAUACAAUCAAGAAGCUGGCUUAAAAGGACUAGGAAAACAAAAACCGCAGUCAUUAACCUGUCUUGCCAGAACAAACGUCUGAUCAUAAGUCUGCAAAUUUUAAAGUCAAAUAUGUCAUAAUAAGUGUAUAUAUAUUAAUUCUGUAAAAAUAUUUAUUUUUACAUUGGUAUAUAAAUUGUGGUUUAAUUUCAAAACGGACAAUUCAAAGGCAGAUAGGCUGUUGUGGAAUCAGUAAGAUGAACUUCUACAACUAGAAAAAAUUUCAUUGAAAAAGUACAUCCACUACUCACCGGAGACUGAUUAUUAAAUUCUAUCAACCCUGCUGUGCAACUGUUAUACUUCUUGGUGACGUUAUUAUUUUGGAACAUUAGAAACGAAGUUCAUAGCACGGUGCUAUUUGCAAUUUUUCAAUGGCCCAACUUUUUAUUGUGAAAUCAUUGAAAUCAAGUGAAAAUCUAUGCUAAUUGUUACUAAGUAACCUCCUUAUUGACGUGUGAUAGAACACGCGCAAUUUAAUUGAACACACCCAAAUCAUGGGACUAUGCAUGGAACCUAGAAGACUAUGCAUGUAUUAAUAAGUUAUCAAUAAAUUAUCUGUCAUAGAGUUGUAUGUAAUUCACGAUCUAUGAUUAAGGAAAUUAUUAGAGGAGCAACUUACCACUUGUGACUCAUGAAAAGUUAUACACUUGACUGUACGGAAGGUUAAAAAUGAAAUUUCUAUUUUACAAAUAAUAGUCACGGUCUUACAUUUGAUAUCUGAAGACAAACAGAAUGAAACCACUGAGCAAUUAUAUUUGAAAUUGGUUGUUGAUGCCAGACAAACAACAGAUAAUUGUAUUUAAUACCUUGGCAGAUUAUAAAGCAAGCGUAUACGUAUGUAAAAACAUUUACGCAUUUUUAUUAACAUUUUUUACAUUUUUUCAUGUCUUCUCUUUCAUUUCUCCUUCUGUCUCUGUUUAAAUAGUUACAUUACAAUGUUUUUGUGAAAUUUUUCAUACAACUGUGUGUAUGAUUGAUAAACAGCAAUCUGUGCAGUCUGUUCGCAGAAUUAAUGCGCACUUAACUUUGAAAUUUUCAUUCCAUAAAAGGUCAUUUUUAUAUUUCAUCAUAUAAUAUAUAAAUAUCGGACCUUCGUUUUUAACCGUGUGAUUAUUAACUUUAAAAAUUUCUCCUAUUCCUUUAUUUCUUCACUUCCGAGUUCCAACUGACAACAGAUAUUUGGUUGCAUGCUUAAUUCCAACAAUUAUAUCUUGACGCAAGAAAAUAUAAAUACAAUAGAUUAGUUUCAAUACAACUGUCACAGUCUUAUUUUAUAGACAUGUUUUUUAUCUUUUGUCAAGUCAGACUGUAACUUUCAAUCUGUAAUAUUAUGAUACAACGUUAACAUCAGAGAGGUUUUUGCCUAUUGGUUAUUUAAUUCAAUUUUUCCAAUUCAUUGCCCAAUCUUUGAGAUUGUGUAAUGAUUAUGGUGAAUUUUUAUUAUCUGUUAUAGUGUAGACAUGCAUUACGAAAUUCAAGUAAUUAAAUUUUACAUUAUGAUGGUUGUUCAACAAGAAAUAAUACAACACAAAAUUGUCAACCUGUCUGGUGUUGACGUUUAGCGUCAAUUUGAAUCAUGCAAAGUGUGCUCGAUUCAAUUAUGCAGUUAUUUUGAGUUCCUAUAGGCAUAAAGUAGCGGUUGAAUUUCAUCUCAGCCAAAGCUUUAAUCGCAAGGCAUCUACACCGUUUAAAUAAUAUCGAAAUAAUCGUUUGUCUCGAACGAAACCUAAAUUUUCGUACAAUCGAAGCGCUGGUCGAUUGGUUAUUUCCGUUUCUAAAACUACUUCGUCAGCGUCAUCAGCUACCAUUGCUUGAAUCGCUCUUCUCACAAGAUUGGAACCAAUUUUACGCUUACGGUAUUUCACAUCUACCGCAAGCAUUGCAAUGUAUCCGCGCUUUAUCACUUUUCUGUGGACAUCAAGCUUGCAAACAAUUGCUCCAACACACUCCUCUUCGUGCAUAGCCUUUGAAAAGAAAGAAAACACGGAACCAUUAUGUCACCGAUGAAAAUUAUUCAACUUUUGUAGAUAAAAUGUAAUGUUAUAAUAAAUUUCAAAUUAAA